GUGUGUGGAUGGUGUUCAGCACCAGGGGCAAGUGUGUUCGCCUGUGUGUGGAUGGUGUUCAACACAAGGGACAGGUGUGCUUACCU
RNAcentral lists this microRNA precursor (86 nucleotides) under Branchiostoma floridae (Florida lancelet). RNAcentral's name for it is "mir-2060 microRNA precursor family". It matches the Rfam family "mir-2060 microRNA precursor family". The record is from Rfam by way of RNAcentral. Lineage: Eukaryota; Metazoa; Chordata; Leptocardii; Amphioxiformes; Branchiostomatidae.